Molecule: ribosomal RNA, 373 nt
Filed under: uncultured bacterium
Lineage: Bacteria
Description: bacterial SSU rRNA
Rfam family: Bacterial small subunit ribosomal RNA
Source: RNAcentral
AAGGAAUAUUGGUCAAUGGACGCAAGUCUGAACCAGCCAUGCCGCGUGAAGGAUGAAGGUCCCCUGGAUUGUAAACUUCUUUUAUCUGGGACGAAAACGGGAUUUUUAUCUCAAUUGACGGUACCAGAGGAAUAAGCACCGGCUAACUCCGUGCCAGCAGCCGCGGUAAUACGGAGGGUGCGAGCGUUAUCCGGAUUUACUGGGUUUAAAGGGUGCGUAGGUGGGCUUAUAAGUCAGUGGUGAAAUCUCCGAGCUUAACUUGGAAACUGCCGUUGAUACUAUAGGUCUUGAAUUAUCUGGAGGUAAGCGGAAUAUGUCAUGUAGCGGUGAAAUGCGUAGAUAUGACAUAGAACACCAAUUGCGAAGGCAGCUU